RNAcentral lists this ribosomal RNA (532 nucleotides) under Urogonimus macrostomus. RNAcentral describes it as "eukaryotic LSU rRNA". The stretch from base 294 to 532 matches the Rfam family "Eukaryotic large subunit ribosomal RNA", at positions 1 to 220 of the family's 3401-position model. Lineage: Eukaryota; Metazoa; Platyhelminthes; Trematoda; Diplostomida; Leucochloridiidae. The record is from RNAcentral.
CCAGAUCUAUGGCUCCAUCCCAAUGUAUCCGGCUGCAGCCAUAUCUAAAUCUAAUGCAAUAGAUUGAAUUGCUGCGUUGGAUUAUGCUCGAGUCGUGGCUCAAUGUAUUGAAACACGCUUGUUGUCAUAAUCUAACGUUUCAAUUGAUUCUUUGUACAUUGGAUAGAAUAUAUAUAUAAAGAUAUUGGUUUUGUGGCCGAUGAGAGAUUUAUUAAUCUCUAUAUAUAUAUAGGGUAUUAUAUGAAUAAAUGGAUAAUAUAAAAUUCUAUGCCCUAUAUAUAUUAUUAUGACCCUGACCUCGGAUCAGACGUGAUUACCCGCUGAACUUAAGCAUAUCACUAAGCGGAGGAAAAGAAACUAACCAGGAUUCCCCCAGUAACGGCGAGUGAACGGGGAUUAGCCCAGCACCGAAGCCUGUGACCAAUUGGUUACUAGGCAAUGUGGUGUUUAGGUCAUCUCUUGGCAUUGUUGCUCCACCCUAAGUCCAGCAAUGAGUACGGCUUACUGGAAUGGCCCACAGAGGGUGAAAGGC